GCAUACUGCCGUGAAUACGUUCCCGGGCCUUGUACACACCGCCCGUCACACCAUGAGACGUUGGGAAUACCCGAAGCCUGUGAGCUAACAUUAAGAGGCAGCAGUCGAAGGUAGAAUCAAUGAUUGGGGUGAAGUCGUAACAAGGUAUC
RNAcentral lists this ribosomal RNA (149 nucleotides) under uncultured bacterium. RNAcentral describes it as "partial 16S ribosomal RNA". It matches the Rfam family "Bacterial small subunit ribosomal RNA", at positions 1352 to 1500 of the family's 1533-position model. The record is from RNAcentral.